ACUCCUACGGGAGGCAGCAGUAGGGAAUCUUCCGCAAUGGACGAAAGUCUGACGGAGCAACGCCGCGUGAGUGAUGAAGGUUUUCGGAUCGUAAAGCUCUGUUGUUAGGGAAGAACAAGUACCGUUCGAAUAGGGCGGUA
RNAcentral lists this ribosomal RNA (140 nucleotides) under uncultured Bacillus sp. Its description in RNAcentral is "partial 16S ribosomal RNA". It matches the Rfam family "Bacterial small subunit ribosomal RNA", at positions 335 to 477 of the family's 1533-position model. The record is from RNAcentral. Lineage: Bacteria; Bacillati; Bacillota; Bacilli; Caryophanales; Bacillaceae.